Molecule: long non-coding RNA, 598 nt
Organism: Amphiprion ocellaris (clown anemonefish)
Lineage: Eukaryota; Metazoa; Chordata; Actinopteri; Pomacentridae
Source: Ensembl
AACAAAAGCUGCCUGAGAGUUUACAGGUUUUUAUGUUGGAUUUCUUCAGUAAUUUAAUGAGAGUUAUCAGCAAUAAUCAAGUGUUCAUUUGAUGAACUUCAUUUCCUAAAACAUCCAGAAUUGGAGCUCAUAUCUUUGGCAGCUGUAAAGUUUCUGCUACUUCAAAGUUCACAACACAAUGAAUUAAUUCCUAAAACACUCUCAAUGCUGGAGAGCGUUUGUGAUGCUGAAGCAGUGAUCAGUUUUUCUGUUUCUUCUCUGGAGAUGCACAAUGAGGGACGUCUGCAGAGACUGAGAAAGAGUCUCACCACAUCCUGACAUGAGGAAAAAGACUUUAUUGAAGACUACAAUGAGAAAAACUAUCAGACAGCAGACAGCUGCAUUCAAGUCUGUAGCUGCUGAAUUCAUGGAUGAAUCAUCUGGCACUAGAGAAGAAGACCAUCAAACAUCCACGUCAGCUGAUGGAGGUCCAAGAGUCUCACCAAACAAACAACCUACAGAGUGAAGACCUCAAAUCUGAUUGGACGGCUUCCUAUUCAGCCACGUGUGAACAAAUGCCUCUAAGCUGAUUUGUUUUCUAAAAUAAAUCUAGUUUGAG